CCUACAGGGGGCUUCAGUGGGGAAUAUUGCACAAUGGGGGGAACCCUGAUGCAGCGACGCCGCGUGAGCGAGGAAGUAUUUCGGUAUGUAAAGCUCUAUCAGCAGGGACGAAAAAAGACGGUACCUGACUAAGAAGCCCCGGCUAACUACGUGCCAGCAGCCGAGGGAAUACGUAGGGGGCAAGCGUUAUCCGGUUUUACUGGGUGGAAAGGGAGCGUAGACGGGAAGGCAAGCCAGAAGUGAAAGGGCAGGGCUCAACCCUGGGCAUGCUUUUGGAACUGUGGUACUAGAGUGCAGGAGAGGUAAGUGGAAUUCCUAGUGUAGCGGUGAAAUGCGUAGAUAUUAGGAGGAACACCAGUGGCGAAGGCGGCUUACUGGACUGUAACUGACGUUGAGGCUCGAAAGCGUGGGGAGCAAACAGGAUUAGAUACCCGGGUAGUC
Molecule: ribosomal RNA, 441 nt
Filed under: uncultured bacterium
Lineage: Bacteria
Description: partial 16S ribosomal RNA
Rfam family: Bacterial small subunit ribosomal RNA
Source: RNAcentral